AAGUAAAAGUCGUAACAAGGUUUCCGUAGGUGAACCUGCGGAAGGAUCAUUAAAAAAUAUACAGAAGAUGUUACGGGAGAGGGGGUUCAAAUACCCGCUCCCUAAUGUCCUACGUUAAACCCAAACCGUGUACCUAUACCAUGUUGCUUCCCAGGACCCGCAGGGAAACCUGCCCGGCACUGCCCCUCCUCACCGAGGGACGGCCGGCCGCGGUCCUGGAGAAGGUCCGCAACGUAAGUUGUAAAACCCCCCAACCAGCCUGAAGAUGAGAAGUCUGACGUUGGCCUUUGUGCCACCGGUUUUAUAUAACAUACUUAAAACUUUCAACAACGGAUCUCUUGGUUCUCGCAUCGAUGAAGAACGCAGCGAAAUGCGAUAAGUAAUGUGAAUUGCAGAAUUCAGUGAAUCAUCGAAUCUUUGAACGCACAUUGCGCCCCAGGGCAUUCCUUGGGGCAUGCCUGCUCGAGCGUCACAAAAAACCCCCCUCACAAGCAUUUGUGGUGAUGGCGGACGUGGCUACCCGGCCCCCUUACCGGGGAAGGGCCCACGCCGCUGAAAUGGAUCAGGCGGANCGCAACCUCUCUCGUCAACUGGCUUAGUAAAAACGACGUCAAGUCAACCAGCCGGGAGUGAGGUGAUGUCUUGCCCACACUAGGACCCCCAUCCAUCGUGAUGAGAAACCUUGGGUUGACCUCGGAUCAGGUAGGGAUACCCGCUGAACUUAAGCAUAU
RNAcentral lists this ribosomal RNA (731 nucleotides) under Nothojafnea sp. MEL 2363843. RNAcentral describes it as "eukaryotic LSU rRNA". The stretch from base 319 to 472 matches the Rfam family "5.8S ribosomal RNA". The record is from RNAcentral. Lineage: Eukaryota; Fungi; Ascomycota; Pezizomycetes; Pezizales; Pyronemataceae.